RNAcentral lists this ribosomal RNA (235 nucleotides) under uncultured bacterium. RNAcentral's name for it is "partial 16S ribosomal RNA". It matches the Rfam family "Bacterial small subunit ribosomal RNA", at positions 118 to 351 of the family's 1533-position model. The record is from RNAcentral.
UGAGCAAUCUGCCCUUCUCUUCGGAAUAAGCGUUGGAAACGACGUCUAAUGCCGAAUACGACCUCCUUUCGCAUGAUCGGAGGUGGAAAGCUCCGGCGGAGAAGGAUGAGCUCGCGGCCUAUCAGCUAGUUGGUGUGGGUAAUGGCCCACCAAGGCGACGACGGGUAGCCGGCCUGAGAGGGUGACCGGCCACACUGGGACUGAGACACGGCCCAGACUCCGUACGGGGAGGNAG